Molecule: ribosomal RNA, 500 nt
Filed under: uncultured Owenweeksia sp.
Lineage: Bacteria; Pseudomonadati; Bacteroidota; Flavobacteriia; Flavobacteriales; Owenweeksiaceae
Description: bacterial SSU rRNA
Rfam family: Bacterial small subunit ribosomal RNA
Source: RNAcentral
UAAUACGGAGGAUGCAAGCGUUAUCCGGAUUUAUUGGGUUUAAAGGGUCCGUAGGCGGUCUUUAAGUCAGUGGUGAAAGCCCACAGCUCAACUGUGGAACUGCCAUUGAUACUGGAGAUCUUGAGUGUAGUAGAAGUAGGCGGAAUAGGGCAUGUAGCGGUGAAAUGCAUAGAUAUGCCCUAGAACACCGAUUGCGAAGGCAGCUUACUAUGUUACAACUGACGCUGAGGACGAAAGCGUGGGAGCAAACAGGAUUAGAUACCCUGGUAGUCCACGCUGUAAACGAUGAUUACUCGCUGUUGGCGACAUACAGUCAGCGGCCAAGCGAAAGCAUUAAGUAAUCCACCUGGGGAGUACGCCGGCAACGGUGAAACUCAAAGGAAUUGACGGGGGCCCGCACAAGCGGUGGAGCAUGUGGUUUAAUUCGAUGAUACGCGAGGAACCUUACCAGGGUUUAAAUGGGAAUUGACAGAUGCCGAAAGGUGUCCUUCUUCGGACAA